CAGCUGCCCCCCAAAAAAAACUUGCUGUCAUGCGCACGCGCCGCGUUCCGUGUGGCUCGCUCGUUGAGACUGAAGAAGAGGCUGCGACUGAGACCCAGCGACUCCAUGCCUCACAGUUAACCAGGCCCUUGCCCUCUUUUUUUUUGUUUUUUACCGGAUUCUGGAGUUUUGUUGUGCUUGCGCUUUCUCUUUGGCUUUUGCAAGAGAGUUUUUCGGCCAGGGAUAAUUGUUAAGUGCAUAAUAAUUGGGGAAUAUUUAUUUAUGAAACUCACCCUCCUAAAUGUAGAUAUCAAUAAAAUAACUUUGCGUGUCAAUGAGAAUUUUCGGGCAAGGUCUGUGUUUUCUGUCCCGCGUCAGAAUUAUGCAGCUGCCACGCCCAGGAAAUAGAUUGAAGAAUUGCAGAUAUUAUCAAUCGAUUAUCCAGAAUCGGACAUUAUUUACCCAAGAUAUAGCCAUAAAGAAUAAAAAUAUAUAAAAUAAGAAUUAAAUAAAAUGUAAUAAACUUAAAUAAACAAUAUAUUAUACUCAUGUCUUUCUAGUUUUAAGGAAUAUAUAUAA
This is a long non-coding RNA of Drosophila montana, 558 nucleotides long. RefSeq lists it as uncharacterized. The transcript is spliced from 5 exons. Lineage: Eukaryota; Metazoa; Arthropoda; Insecta; Diptera; Drosophilidae. The record is from RefSeq and is a predicted model, not a curated record.